This 673-nucleotide long non-coding RNA is filed under the name Triticum aestivum (bread wheat). RNAcentral describes it as "long non-coding RNA (TAES_LNC020342)". Lineage: Eukaryota; Viridiplantae; Streptophyta; Magnoliopsida; Poales; Poaceae. The record is from RNAcentral.
CAUUAUAGCAAGGAUGUACUUCUGACAGCCGUGCAUAGAGCAACACAUCCUCAACACCGUUCUCUUUGCCGCUGCAAAACAGGAGCCAGUGGUGAGGCGCCAGCCGGCCGGCAUCACCUUCACCUUUCCCACUCCUCCUCAAAUCUGUUAGCAAUGCCUGACCUCCGCCCACCCUCUCCUCUGCAACGGCUCACUCUCUCCUCGAUCUCAACCAAUACAUCAGCCUGAAGCUUAACACCUAAUAAUAAGAUUUCAGAAUAAUCAAUAAUUUUUACAAAGGAACCUGUAGCUGCAGCAAGGGGUUUAUGAGUAAAUUAACAUGUAGUUAAAUGAGCUGAAGCACACAAAAAUAAUAGUUUGAGGUGAGUACAUCUACCUAGUUGCUAAUAGAUCAUUAAAUUCUCAGAUAUGUCAGUACAAUACUCUCAGAUAUGUCAAUACAAUAAUCUUAAUCCCUGUCAACAACAUAUCAGAUGGAUUUACAUCCUCGAACCUGCACCAAUCCAGAAGUUAAAUGAAAAUCUAUAUUGGCCUAUAACACAUGAAUAUUCCAACGUUAGUCCUAUCUGAAGCCAUCUUCAGUUGAACAGAGAACCACAAAGGCAAAAUGUGUGAGAGAGAAAAUGAGUGCGGGAGAGAGAGAUGGUUGGGGGCUCACAUACACUCCUGCAGC